GAAAUGCGAUAAGUAAUGUGAAUUGCAGAAUUCAGUGAAUCAUCGAAUCUUUGAACGCACCUUGCGCUCCUUGGUAUUCCUUGGAGCAUGCCUGUUUGAGUAUCAUGAAAUCUUCAAAGUAAAUCUUUUGUUAACUCAAUUGGUUUCUACUUUGGUAUUGGAGGUCUUUGCAGCUUCACACCUGCUCCUCUUUGUUCAUUAGCUGGAUCUCAGUGUUAUGCUUGGUUCCACUCGGCGUGAUAAGUUAUCUAUCGCUGAGGUCACUGUAAAAGGUGGCCAAGGUAAAUGCAGAUGAACCGCUUCUAAUAGUCCAUUGACUUGGACAAUACUUUUAUGAUCUGAUCUCAAAUCAGGAAGGACUACCCGCUGAACUUAAGC
This 378-nucleotide unclassified non-coding RNA is filed under the name plant metagenome. Its description in RNAcentral is "partial contains 5.8S ribosomal RNA, internal transcribed spacer 2, and large subunit ribosomal RNA". The stretch from base 1 to 105 matches the Rfam family "5.8S ribosomal RNA", at positions 50 to 154 of the family's 154-position model. The record is from RNAcentral.